Molecule: ribosomal RNA, 587 nt
Filed under: uncultured bacterium
Lineage: Bacteria
Description: bacterial SSU rRNA
Rfam family: Bacterial small subunit ribosomal RNA
Source: RNAcentral
GAAACGGCUGCUAAUACCGCAUACGCCUCACGAGGGAAAGAUUCAUCGCCUUGGGAUGGGUCCGCGUCGGAUUAGCUUGUUGGUGGGGUAAAGGCCUACCAAGGCGACGAUCCGUAGCUGGUCUGAGAGGAUGAUCAGCCACACUGGGACUGAGACACGGCCCAGACUCCUACGGGAGGCAGCAGUGGGGAAUAUUGCGCAAUGGGGGAUACCCUGACGCAGCGAUGCCGCGUGGGUGAAGAAGGCCUUCGGGUUGUAAAGCCCUUUUAGUAGGGAAGAUAGUGACGGUACCUACAGAAAAAGCUCCGGCUAACUCCGUGCCAGCAGCCGCGGUAAUACGGAGGGGGCGAGCGUUGUUCGGAAUUACUGGGCGUAAAGGGCGCGUAGGCGGUUUGGCAAGUCAGGAGUGAAAGCCAUGGGCUCAACCCAUGAACGGCUCUUGAAACUGCGAGACUAGAGUCCGGCAGAGGAUGGUGGAAUUCCCCGUGUAGAGGUGAAAUUCGUAGAUAUGGGGAGGAAGACCAGAGGCGAAGGCGGCCAUCUGGACCGGUACUGACGCUGAGGCGCGAAAGCGUGGGGAGCAAACA